AUGUCACUUUGGUGUCACGUUGGUGUCACGUUGGUGUCACGUUGGUGUCACAUUGGUGUCAUUGGUGUCACUUUGGUGUCACGUUGGUGUCACUUUGGUGUCAUUGGUGUCACUUUGGUCUCACGUUGGUGUCACGUUGCUGUCACUUUGGUGUCACAUUGCUGUCACAUCGCUGUCACUUUGGUGUCACGUUGGUGUCACUUUGGUGCCACAUUGGUGUCACAGUGUCACAUUGGUGUCAUAUAUGUGUCACAAUGGUGUCACAUCGGUGUCACAUUGGUGUCACAUUGUUGUCACAUUGGUGUCCCCGUGUCCCAUCCCCAUCCCCAUGUCCCAUCCUUGUCGCCAUGUCCCACGCUGUCCCCGUGUCCCAUCCUUGUCCCCAUGUCCCAUCCCUGUCCCUGUGUCCCAUCCUUGUCCCUGUGUCCCAUCCCUGUCCCCAUGUCCCAUCCUUGUCCCCAUGUCCCAUCCGUGUCCCCAUGUCCCAUCCUUGUCCCCAUGUCCCACGCUGUCCCCGUGUCCCAUCCCUGUCCCCGUGUCCCAUCCCUGUCCCCAUGUCCCAUCCCCGUCCCCGUGUCCCCAUGUCCCAUCCCUGUCCCCGUGUCCCAUCCUUGUCCCCAUGUCCCACGCUGUCCCCAUGUCCCAUCCCUGUCCCCAUGUCCCAUCCUCGUCCCCGUGUCCCCAUGUCCCAUCCCUGUCCCCAUGUCCCAUCCUCGUCCCCGUGUCCCCAUGUCCCAUCCCUGUCCCCAUGUCCCAUCCCUGUCCCCAUGUCCCGUUCUUGUCCCCAUGUCCCAUCCCUGUCCCCAUGUCCCAUCCCUGUCCCCAUGUCCCAUCCUCGUCCCCGUGUCCCCAUGUCCCAUCCCUGUCCCCAUGUCCCAUCCUUGUCCCCAUGUCCCAUCCUUGUCCCCAUGUCCCCCCCUUGUCCCCAUGUCCCAUCCCUGUCCCCGUGUCCCAUCCCUGUCCCCGUGUCCCAUCCCUGUCCCCGUGUCCCAUCCCUGUCCCCAUGUCCCAUCCCUGUCCCCGUGUCCCAUCCCUGUCCCCAUGUCCCAUCCCUGUCCC
Molecule: long non-coding RNA, 1059 nt
Filed under: Numida meleagris (helmeted guineafowl)
Lineage: Eukaryota; Metazoa; Chordata; Aves; Galliformes; Numididae
Description: lncRNA (ENSNMEG00000004266.1)
Source: RNAcentral